RNAcentral lists this ribosomal RNA (403 nucleotides) under Fusobacteriota bacterium. RNAcentral describes it as "Fusobacteria bacterium partial 16S ribosomal RNA". It matches the Rfam family "Bacterial small subunit ribosomal RNA", at positions 355 to 776 of the family's 1533-position model. Lineage: Bacteria; Fusobacteriati; Fusobacteriota. The record is from RNAcentral.
UGGGGAAUUUUGCACAAUGGAGGAAACUCUGAUGCAGCGACGCCGCGUGAGUGAUGAAGAUCUUCGGAUUGUAAAACUCUGUCCUUAGUGAAGAUAAUGACAGUAACUAAGAAGCAAGCCCUGGCUAAAUACGUGCCAGCAGCCGCGGUAAUACGUAUGGGGCAAGCGUUGUCCGGAAUUAUUGGGCGUAAAGGGUACGUAGGCGGUUUAAUAAGUCCUAAUUAAAAGGCUAUGGCUCAACCAUAGUAUGGUUAGGAAACUGUUGAACUUGAGUAGAUGAGGGGAAAGUGGAAUUCCAUGUGUAGCGGUGAAAUGCGUAGAUAUAUGGAGGAACACCAAUGGCGAAGGCAACUUUCUGGGAUCAAACUGACGCUGAGGUACGAAGGCGUGGGGAGCAAACAGG